RNAcentral lists this unclassified non-coding RNA (204 nucleotides) under Hevea brasiliensis (rubber tree). Lineage: Eukaryota; Viridiplantae; Streptophyta; Magnoliopsida; Malpighiales; Euphorbiaceae. The record is from RNAcentral.
AAGUUCUCAACCCAAAUCUUCAUCACAUAGCUUUGUACAUCUAAAUUUGCUAAAUCUUGAACCAAAGAUUAGGCAUAUCUAUCAUUUAAGGAUGUAGAGACAAAUGUGUCCUCUUUCCCAAGCUCGGCUAUAAGUAGCAUCAUUCCAUCUUGUUGAGAGUAAGAGUAGGUGCGUUAAGAGCAAAUGUGUAGAAAAUAAAGUGAG